Balaenoptera musculus (blue whale) is the source of this 701-nucleotide long non-coding RNA. RefSeq lists it as uncharacterized. The transcript has 4 exons. Lineage: Eukaryota; Metazoa; Chordata; Mammalia; Artiodactyla; Balaenopteridae. The record is from RefSeq and is a predicted model, not a curated record.
CGCCGACUGACCGCGGCGGGCGCGUGCUCCCGGCAGGCUGUGCGCGUGCUCUCGGCAGGCUGUGCGCGGCCGUGAAUCUUCCACCCGCGCGUGAGGAGCUCACCGCCGCUGAGAGCGCGGGAGGCCGCCUCGCGAGUCCCAAACAGGUUUCUAAAACAACGAACUUAAUGAGACAACAGCCACCGCAGACCUGCGCUCUGUCAGCAAGAAGCCUGAGUUCUCGGAGGUGCAGUUAGUGUCUCAGGGUCCACGAUGCUCACAAAUGCUAGAAACCUAAGAUCAGGAAGGAGCUCAGCGACGCUCGCCCGGGUCUCCAGCAGCGAGCGGCCGACGCUCCUGCCGGAAGCAGCCGGGACACGGCGGCCGCGCGUGUUCUCCAGGCCUCCCCGCCCCCCUCCCCCCGCCUCCGAACCCGCAGGACAAAGACUGCGGGGUCGUCCAAGUCACUCAGGGAGUAGCGGCCUCGCAACACGGGAUCCCAGCAACUAAGCGUGCGCAGGGGUCGCCUCCCUUGACCGGGGCGACCAGAGGCGGGGACCCGAGGUUUGGUAACUCUUCUAUGGACACAGAAAAAUAUUGACCUGGAGAGAUUAUAGAAUCACUGGUAAGUGUAGGCCUAAGAUGCUGGCCCUCCCCUACUCUACAGAUGAUUGUGCCUGGACCAACAGCUUAAAUUUGGGGCACAGCUGAUACAGGUUGAG